CAGCAGCCACGGUAAUACGAAGGGGGCUAGCGUUGUUCGGAAUUACUGGGCGUAAAGCGCACGUAGGCGGAUUGUUAAGUUAGGGGUGAAAUCCCAGGGCUCAACCCUGGAACUGCCUUUAAUACUGGCAAUCUCGAGUCCGAGAGAGGUGAGUGGAAUUCCGAGUGUAGAGGUGAAAUUCGUAGAUAUUCGGAGGAACACCAGUGGCGAAGGCGGCUCACUGGCUCGGUACUGACGCUGAGGUGCGAAAGCGUGGGGAGCAAACAGGAUUAGAUACCCGAGUAGUCCCUGUCUCUUAUAC
This 301-nucleotide ribosomal RNA is filed under the name uncultured bacterium. Its description in RNAcentral is "partial 16S ribosomal RNA". It matches the Rfam family "Bacterial small subunit ribosomal RNA", at positions 509 to 807 of the family's 1533-position model. The record is from RNAcentral.